RNAcentral lists this long non-coding RNA (1133 nucleotides) under Pan troglodytes (chimpanzee). Its description in RNAcentral is "long non-coding RNA NONPTRT017720". Lineage: Eukaryota; Metazoa; Chordata; Mammalia; Primates; Hominidae. The record is from RNAcentral.
UGUUUAAGGUAGGGUACAGGAGGGCAAAAGUUCCCUUUUAAAGAAAACUGAGUUGCCAAAAGCUACUGACAUCCAGCAGGUUCUGUGUCAUGCUGCUUCCCUUAAAGCAGUUAUUAAGGACUGUGCUUCUCCACGGUACCUGAUGGCUGUCAAAUGACUUAAGAAAUAUUACUCACAUUACAGAAAAUAUUAAAAGAGGCUACCAUUUUGUUGUUCUCCUCCAAAAAGCCAGAAGAAAACUGUUAAAAGCCUGCAAUUCAGGAAAUGCUAAGGCACUCAUGCCCAGAAUAUUUAGUAUGAGUGCAAAGCUCAUUGUUAACUAUAAUAAUCUAUGUUUGUCUGACAUUUAAAUUUCAGCCCAAAGUCACAAGGUUAUGUUUCCUUUUUAAAAGGUCAGUUCUUUCAGAGGAGUGCAAGACGAACAUCCUUCAAAUUUCAUAGCAGGGGUUGGCUGACUGAGUUCUAAUGAGGCUGCACGGGGGCCAGUUGUGAUGACGACUACAGCCUUAGUCAACUUCCUAAGCUGCUCUUCUAUGUUACUUAGUGGAGGAGCACUUAGAAAAUAAAGGUAUUGUGGAAUACCUCAGUAGUAUCUGUUCUGGAGCUCCUGCCCCUGGGACCUGCAAGUGCUUCCUACAUGGUAGGUAUUCAUGGUAUCAUAUACAAAAGGAAUGAUCAAGGUAGAUAUCUAGGGGAGAGAUCUGCUAUUUGACCUAUACUGCUGUAUUAUGAGGUUAGCAGCAUUGUUCUCAAGUACAAUUUCAUGUUUAGUUUGACUAUUGUAGUCACUGGCUGUACCUUUUAGAAAACAACAAAAACUAUAAACUAGUUUGUCCUACCUGGGCUUUUAAGUCAUAAAGUUUCACUCUGAAGUCUACAAUUGAACUUCAGUACAUUCAAAAGUUUAACUAGCCAUCACGGGGGGUCCACACAGUGUUAGCUAUACUGGAUUGUAUCAAACUUCCAGGAUCUGUACUUGAACAACAAGUACACUUACGACACUCUUUCAGGGGCUCAUCACUCCAGUCCCUGCAGUCCUGCUCCUGGUUACAUACUUUGCUGAUAUCUAUGCAUUCUCCACUUCUGCACUUGAAUUUUCCAGGGCCCAAGCACUGAUUGACUACAAAGAGAAA